RNAcentral lists this ribosomal RNA (506 nucleotides) under uncultured bacterium. RNAcentral describes it as "partial 16S ribosomal RNA". It matches the Rfam family "Bacterial small subunit ribosomal RNA", at positions 30 to 523 of the family's 1533-position model. The record is from RNAcentral.
AUUGAACGCUGGCGGCAGGCCUAACACAUGCAAGUCGAACGGUAACAGGAAGCAGCUUGCUGCUUUGCUGACGAGUGGCGGACGGGUGAGUAAUGUCUGGGAAACUGCCCGAUGGAGGGGGAUAACUACUGGAAACGGUAGCUAAUACCGCAUAAUGUCGCAAGACCAAAGAGGGGGACCUUCGGGCCUCUUGCCAUCGGAUGUGCCCAGAUGGGAUUAGCUUGUUGGUGAGGUAACGGCUCACCAAGGCGACGAUCCCUAGCUGGUCUGAGAGGAUGCACAGCCACGCUGGAACUGAGACACGGUCCAGACUCCUACGGGAGGCAGCAGUGGGGAAUAUUGCACAAUGGGCGCAAGCCUGAUGCAGCCAUGCCGCGUGUAUGAAGAAGGCCUUCGGGUUGUAAAGUACUUUCAGCGGGGAGGAAGGGGUUAAGGUUAAUAACCUUAGCCAUUGACGUUACCCGCAGAAGAAGCACCGGCUAACUCCGUGCCAGCCGCCGCGGUAA